UACAGAGGGUGCAAGCGUUAAUCGGAAUUACUGGGCGUAAAGCGCACGCAGGCGGUUUUUUAAGUCAGAUGUGAAAGCCCCGGGCUCAACCUGGGAAUUGCAUUUGAAACUGGGAAACUAGAGUGUGUGAGAGGGGGGUAGAAUUCCAAGUGUAGCGGUGAAAUGCGUAGAGAUUUGGAGGAAUACCAGUGGCGAAGGCGGCCCCCUGGCACAACACUGACGCUCAGGUGCGAAAGCGUGGGGAGCAAACAGG
Molecule: ribosomal RNA, 253 nt
Filed under: uncultured bacterium
Lineage: Bacteria
Description: partial 16S ribosomal RNA
Rfam family: Bacterial small subunit ribosomal RNA
Source: RNAcentral